GGUUUUAACCUAGUAUCACAAGGUACUAAGGAAUUCUGACCUACACCAAGGUGUUGCGUCAAAAACCUCAGUUUUUGGAUUGCCUUCCUAGGGUAUCCGGGAGGGCAGA
Molecule: small RNA, 109 nt
Filed under: Oesophagostomum dentatum (nodular worm)
Lineage: Eukaryota; Metazoa; Nematoda; Chromadorea; Rhabditida; Strongylidae
Description: SL2 RNA
Rfam family: SL2 RNA
About the family: This family represents SL2 RNA. SL2 RNA is involved in trans splicing in lower eukaryotes.
Source: Rfam by way of RNAcentral